Long non-coding RNA from Myxocyprinus asiaticus (Chinese sucker), 753 nucleotides. RefSeq lists it as uncharacterized. The record is from RefSeq and is a predicted model, not a curated record. Lineage: Eukaryota; Metazoa; Chordata; Actinopteri; Cypriniformes; Catostomidae. The transcript has 5 exons.
AAUAUAACCAUAACUAACAUUAGCUUAUUUUAUUUCACAGUUCUUAGUAAUGCUUCAGUGUGUGGUACUCAAAACAUGGGCUAACACAAAAGGGAGUGUUGCACAGCUCUCAUGUACUCGGCCCUGUAACAUGGCUGGGAGAAUGUGGGACUGGUAUACCAGUAUCCUUCCUCACAUAAGGUGGCGGUAAGAUCAUUACAUCAGACAUAGAGAUCCCAAGCCCCUCAUAAUGGUGUAAACUGAUGAAAUGCCAGCCUGCCAUUCCACUUUGUCACUGAUUCAUCCAUGGAGAGGAACAAAAAACUUGCUGAAAGGAGUGUUAUUCACUUACCUUGCAGUGCCGCCUGGACCUGCUACCCUGGGAAGUGGUUUGAGGAACUUCAGAGGGGAAAUGCCUGGCUGUCUGAGGCAGGACGGCCCCUGAACUGUGCUCCUCAAGCAGCCCUCUCGUGAGGUUGAUCCUGAAUUGCAGGGAAUCACUGGAGUGCCCUAUCAAUAGUAAGGGGCCAGUAAGGACAUGGUGACGGACCCAGAGAUCCCAAGUCCCUCGUAGUGGUGGAUGUCAGUGUUGGAUCCAGUGUAACCACUUUCCUUUCACUCCAGGUGGUGUUUUCUCCAGCUGUUCUGUGGAAUAGUGGUUUGUUUCCUGAUCUCCUCAGCAUUAAACCUCUGUGGAAGAUGCAGGUGGGGUCUGACUUUGAGGUCCAGGAGGGGUAAAAUUGCUGAUUGUUUACAUUGCAAUGCAGACUUCAG